This 588-nucleotide ribosomal RNA is filed under the name uncultured soil bacterium. Its description in RNAcentral is "bacterial SSU rRNA". It matches the Rfam family "Bacterial small subunit ribosomal RNA", at positions 895 to 1482 of the family's 1533-position model. The record is from RNAcentral.
UGAAACUCAAAGGAAGUGACGGGGGCCCGCACAAGCGGUGGAGCAUGUGGUUCAAUUCGACGCAACGCGAAGAACCUUACCCAGGCUUGAACAGCGGGUGACCAUCGACGAAAGUCGACUUCCGCAAGGACACUCGUAGAGGUGCUGCAUGGCUGUCGUCAGCUCGUGUCGUGAGAUGUUGGGUUAAGUCCCGCAACGAGCGCAACCCUUGUUUGCUGUUGCCAUCAGGUAAUGCUGGGCACUCUGCAAAGACUGCCGGUGAUAAACCGGAGGAAGGUGGGGAUGACGUCAAGUCAGCAUGGCCUUUAUGUCUGGGGCUACACACGUGCUACAAUGGCCGGUACAAACCGUCGCAAAACCGCAAGGUGGAGCUAAUCGGAGAAAGCCGGUCUCAGUUCGGAUAGCAGGCUGCAACUCGCCUGCUUGAAGUUGGAAUCGCUAGUAAUCGCGGAUCAGCACGCCGCGGUGAAUACGUUCCCGGGCCUUGUACACACCGCCCGUCACAUCACGAAAGCCGGUUGUACUAGAAGUCGCCAUACCAACCCGCAAGGGAGAGAGGCGCCUAAGGUAUGGUCGGUGAUUGGGGUG